This 402-nucleotide ribosomal RNA is filed under the name uncultured bacterium. RNAcentral describes it as "bacterial SSU rRNA". It matches the Rfam family "Bacterial small subunit ribosomal RNA", at positions 355 to 774 of the family's 1533-position model. The record is from RNAcentral.
UGGGGAAUCUUGCACAAUGGGGGCAACCCUGAUGCAGCGACGCCGCGUGAGCGAUGAAGCCCUUCGGGGCGUAAAGCUCUUUCGACCGGAACGAUAAUGACGGUACCGGGAGAAGAAGCCCCGGCUAACUACGUGCCAGCAGCCGCGGUAAUACGUAGGGGGCAAGCGUUGUCCGGAUUUACUGGGUGUAAAGGGUGCUCAGGCGGAUUUGUAAGUCAGAGGUGAAAUCUUACAGCUUAACUGUGAAACUGCCUUUGAUACUGCAAGCCUAGAGUAUGGAAGAGAGUGAUGGAAUAUCUGGUGUAGCAGUGAAAUGCGUAGAUAUCAGAUAGAACACCAAUGGCGAAGGCAGUCACUUGGUCCAUUACUGACGCUAAAGCACGAAAGCGUGGGUAGCAAACA